CUAACAUCCUGCCCCCAACUCCCUGAAUCAGCCAGCAUCGUAUUUCGCAAGCAGCUCACUGAAGGUUAAAUUUUAAGAAGGGCUGCCAUGGAAAACAAGAAGGGUAUCCAGCAUACACGAGUGUCAGCCUCAGGUCAACCAGUUUCUGCCACCAGAACGGAGAAAAGAUGGAGGAGGGGCAGUAGAGACUGGACUGCUAUUGGAAAUGAUGAAGCCUCGCUGCAAAUGUGUCAGCCAUGCUAGCCUUCUACCCUCACCCACCAAGUGUCUUUUCUCCACCCCCAUCCCGGGGCAAGGGGCACGGAGGCGGCAGAGGAGGCCCAGUAUGACUGGGACUUUCAGCACCAGUCAGUGGUUGUAUGAGGACAAAUCCCACCUCAUGGCUUUUUCUUAAAAAUCUAUGAUUUGUUUUGCUUCCUAUAAACUUAUUAUUAUUUCAAAAUAAAAAGCUUUUUUUUUCACUACUAAA
RNAcentral lists this long non-coding RNA (469 nucleotides) under Cricetulus griseus (Chinese hamster). RNAcentral's name for it is "lncRNA (ENSCGRG00015038144.1)". Lineage: Eukaryota; Metazoa; Chordata; Mammalia; Rodentia; Cricetidae. The record is from RNAcentral.